This 253-nucleotide ribosomal RNA is filed under the name uncultured bacterium. Its description in RNAcentral is "partial 16S ribosomal RNA". It matches the Rfam family "Bacterial small subunit ribosomal RNA", at positions 524 to 776 of the family's 1533-position model. The record is from RNAcentral.
AACGUAGGGGGCGAGCGUUGUCCGGAAUUACUGGGCGUAAAGGGCGUGUAGGCGGCUGGGUAAGUCAGGUGUGAAAACUCUUGGCUCAACCAAGAGACUGCACCUGAAACUGCCUAGCUUGAGGGUAGGAGAGGAAAGUGGAAUUCCUAGUGUAGCGGUGAAAUGCGUAGAUAUUAGGAGGAACACCAGUGGCGAAGGCGACUUUCUGGCCUAACCCUGACGCUGAGGCGCGAAAGCGUGGGGAGCAAACAGG